RNAcentral lists this ribosomal RNA (490 nucleotides) under uncultured bacterium. Its description in RNAcentral is "partial 16S ribosomal RNA". It matches the Rfam family "Bacterial small subunit ribosomal RNA", at positions 30 to 507 of the family's 1533-position model. The record is from RNAcentral.
AUUGAACGCUGGCGGCAGGCCUAACACAUGCAAGUCGAGCGGUAACAGGAAGCAGCUUGCUGCUUUGCUGACGAGUGGCGGACGGGUGAGUAAUGUCUGGGAAACUGCCCGAUGGAGGGGGAUAACUACUGGAAGCGGUAGCUAAUACCGCAUAACGUCGCAAGACCAAAGAGGGGGACCUUAGGGCCUCUUGCCAUCGGAUGUGCCCAGAUGGGAUUAGCUAGUAGGUGGGGUAACGGCUCACCUAGGCGACGAUCCCUAGCUGGUCUGAGAGGAUGACCAGCCACACUGGAACUGAGACACGGUCCAGACUCCUACGGGAGGCAGCAGUGGGGAAUAUUGCACAAUGGGCGCAAGCCUGAUGCAGCCAUGCCGCGUGUAUGAAGAAGGCCUUCGGGUUGUAAAGUACUUUCAGCGGGGAGGAAGGGAGUAAAGUUAAUACCUUUGCUCAUUGACGUUACCCGCAGAAGAAGCACCGGCUAACUCCGUG